GACGAACGCUGGCGGCGUGCUUAACACAUGCAAGUCGAGCGGAAAGGCCCUGCUUUUGUGGGUUGCUCGAGUGGCGAACGCGGGAGUAACACGUGAGUAACCUGCCCUUAAAUUUGGGAUAACUUCAGGAAACUGGGGCUAAUACCGGGUAGAAUCUACUGCUGCAUGGUGGGGAUUAGAAAAUGUCGGCGGUUGUGUCUGGACUGGCGGCUUAUGCGCUGGUUGGUGGGGUAGGGGCUUACCAGGGCUUUGACGGGUAGCCGGCAUGAGAGGGUGAACGGCGACCUUGGGACUGCGAGAGGCACCAGAAUCCUACGUGAGGCAGCAGUGGGGAAUAUUGCACAACGGGGGGAAGUGUGAUGCAGCAACGCUGGGUGCGGGAUGACGGGUUUCGGGGUGUAAACAGAUUUCGACUGUGAUGAAGAGUGAGUGACGGUAAUGGGUAAAGAAGCAACGGCUAACUACGUG
RNAcentral lists this ribosomal RNA (468 nucleotides) under uncultured bacterium. RNAcentral describes it as "partial 16S ribosomal RNA". It matches the Rfam family "Bacterial small subunit ribosomal RNA", at positions 28 to 507 of the family's 1533-position model. The record is from RNAcentral.